This 2573-nucleotide long non-coding RNA is filed under the name Marmota monax (woodchuck). The record is from RNAcentral. Lineage: Eukaryota; Metazoa; Chordata; Mammalia; Rodentia; Sciuridae.
AUUACUUCAUUAAUAAUAAAUGUUGAGUACUUUGUGGUUCCAUUUUCCAGGCAGAACAUCUACUUCAGGAACUUCAAGAACAUUUUCAAGCUCUCACUGCAGCCUUAAACCUGAGAAAUAUCCUCUUCUGUCUUUGGUAAACACUAAUGCUUUUGGACAGGCACAUCUCCAUUGUCUUCUGCUGUGGACAAAUAGUUGUUUAUUUGGAUUCUCCAGUAUUUACACUUGCCCUUCUAAGGGGCUUUUCCUGUGCUGUCAAUGCCAGAGGUCUGUGGCAAGUGUGAAGUUCAAGGGCACCACUCUGCUCCUGACCACCUGGACAACCUGGUCUGCAACAGUUAGAGGACGGUGCUCAAGUCCAAUAGGAGGCUAGACACUGCUGUGCCUUUGCUUUGUUUUGACUUCCCCGGCUCACUCUUUUAUUUCAGAAACACAAAUGUUACAAAAUUAACACAGAAUGUUUCCAAUGAGUAAGUUCAGGUAAGGGCAAAAAGUGCAUUAAAACUUGCCCAAUUUGAGCUCACUUUAUUCAACUAAGUGCAUUCCUUAAACAUUGUGCAAAGUAUUUACAUUUGGAAGUGCUUACCUGCAGCUUUUGAUUUUACCAACAAGGUAAAACAUGAUAACACGAUAAAUUAAACCAUAGAGUUGUUUUAAAAGUUAAAUUUCCAUUAUAUUAUGCUCAGAGUUUGGCAGGUUUAAAAGCCAAGUUUCUCACUUCAAGGUUCAAGAUACACACUAAAAGGGACUCAGGAGGCAGCAAAUUUGCAUUGACCCUUCAUUUUACAAGUUCCUCUCUGUGGAGAAGGUAUGGCCUUGAGGGCGUGUCUGUGGUCACUCUGCACCCCAGACCUACAUGUGCAGUUUUCCUUGACGUGGCACUGGAAGACAUGGGGAAUCGCAUAGAGGACUUACAGAAGAAUGUGAAUGUCCUAAUGGAGCAGGCUGGGGUUGGAAAUUCCACUGAAGAGCAAACAGUAAGUUCAUCAUUAGGCAACUGUUUGCCUUUUGCAUAUCUUUUAAUUGCUUUCAUCUUGAAAAAUACAAUCCCAUAUUUGUUCACUGUGCAAAUACUGUUGCUGUAUUACUGAAAAACCAUUAGAAACAACACAUUUCCAAAUGCUCUAAUCCAGUUAUACCAACUGAAACACUCUUUUCCAUAAUUCCUUAAAAGUGCACAUUUUAGAUGAAAAAUUCCUAUUUCAAAGUUGGAUUUUAUUAGGGUACUUUUCAUCCCUACUCCUUAAAUUAGUCUUCAGCUAGAACACAAAUCACAGUGAACUAGAGACUGGGAUUAUAACUAGUAGUUCCUGUUUAGAUAACUUAUCCAUGUCACACACUGAAGUCCUAUGCACAGAAAGUCCUUAACACAUUUCCUGAGUGGCCCACCAGGGCCUGGAUCACCCCACAAUGGGAACUUUCCCAUGCUAAUGCAGUCUUGAGGAUGCAAACAGAUUCCUAGCUCCAGGUCUGAGACCUGGAGUGUAGCUUUAUUAAGGUAAGUAUGCAUAUUAUCAUGACAGUACUCCAACUAUGACCAUCUUUUCAUUGAACAAUUUAAAGGCCUUGGUUUACUCACAAUUGCUAUCCUAAGUCGGAUAUCAAAUUAUCCCUUCUUGUCCUGCUAAAUUAUAGUUGCCUCUGUCAGUGACAUUAAUUGCAGUGAGUUAUUCUAAGCAGAGUCCACACUGAUGCCAUUGGACUAAAAAGGCCCUUGUAUCAUUUGUUUUUCUGAGUGCUAAAUUUUGCCUACAUAACAAUGUUGUAAUAAUUAUAAGAAAUUAGGGUACUUUAUUAAAAACUGUAUUCAGAUGUAUUUACCUGUAAACUGGAAUCCACAUCACCUAACUGCUUUCAAAUUUUUUCUUACAGACCUGAAGAUGUUAUUGGACAAGUCCCGUGAAACUAAUACAAUGAACACUUUGAAGGAGUAAUCAUCUAUGUAAUAUGGAUUCUGAUUCUCAGUACUUAAUUUUAAGAUUAUUUAUUUUUUUUGGGGGGGGUCCUGGGAAUGGAACUCAGGGCCUCAGCAUGCUAGGCCCUGAGUUGCACCUCCAGUCUAUCAGAAUUCUUUUUUUUCCCUUUUAGUUUUAAUUGGAUGCAAUACCUUUAUUUUAUUUAUUUUUAUGUGGUGCUGAUGAUUAAACCCAGUGUCUCACACAUGCUAGGCAAGCACUCUACCACUGAGUCACAACAUCAGAAUUCAUUUUAACAAAUAAAAAGAUUAAAAGAGGGCUGGGGAUAUGGCUCAAGUGGUAGUGCGCUCGCCUGGCAUGCGUGCGGCCCGGGUUCGAUCCUCAGCACCACAUACAAAGAUGUUGUAUCCGCAGAAAACUAAAAAAAUAAUAUUAAAAAAUUUCUCUUUAAAAAAAAAAUUAAAAGAAUAAGAAAUAAGAAUUCAAAAGGUGGUGAACUACUUACCAAGAUAACUGCAAACAAUGGAGAAAUAUUUUUUCAGUGCAUAAUAUUCACAAAUUAUGGAAGAAAAGCAUAUGCUGUAUGAAUACAUGAAUACUUUUUCCAAGUUAAAAUUCUACAUGGAUCUUUUAAGGAUCACCAGCAGUUUUCUAUCG